RNAcentral lists this long non-coding RNA (344 nucleotides) under Ananas comosus (pineapple). RNAcentral's name for it is "long non-coding RNA (ACOM_LNC024110)". The record is from RNAcentral. Lineage: Eukaryota; Viridiplantae; Streptophyta; Magnoliopsida; Poales; Bromeliaceae.
AUCCCCGUAAGUCUCAAUUUCUAGACUUAGCCAAAUUUCAGCCUUUUUCGUUUUCGCUCCGUUUUCGCUCGUUUUCGCUCGUUUGGUCUCCGAUUCAUUUCAAAUCGAACCGAGACUCUGCAAACAUGUUUUCGAACAUGUUUUCAUCAUUUUUUCAUCCACGCUAAUAUCCGAUUCAGUCCAUGGUCCAACAUAGCCUUUCGGGUUCCGUUUUCGCGCCUACGCGCGCCGAAACGCCUGAAUGCUUCCAAACUUCACCGGAACCAUUCCAAUAGCUCUCCAAACUAAUAUAAACUGUAACUUCAUUAUUUUAGAAGUCCGGUACCUUACACCCACUACACGGA